GCCCCAGUAGUAUAAUCCAUUACCUUGGUCUUGUAAACCAAAAAUGAAACUCUAACGCUUCCUGGGACA
Molecule: transfer RNA, 69 nt
Filed under: Microsciurus flaviventer (pygmy squirrel)
Lineage: Eukaryota; Metazoa; Chordata; Mammalia; Rodentia; Sciuridae
Description: tRNA-Thr
Source: RNAcentral